CACGGGGGGAGCAAGCGUUGUUCGGAUUUACUGGGCGUAAAGGGCGCGUAGGCGGCGCAACAAGUCACUUGUGAAAUCUCCGGGCUUAACUCGGAGCGGUCAAGUGAUACUGUCGUGCUAGAGUGCGGAAGGGGCUACUGGAAUUCUCGGUGUAGCGGUGAAAUGCGUAGAUAUCGAGAGGAACACCUGCGGCGAAGGCGGGUUGCUGGGCUGACACUGACGCUGAUGCGCGAAAGCUAGGGGAGCGAACGGG
Molecule: ribosomal RNA, 253 nt
Filed under: uncultured bacterium
Lineage: Bacteria
Description: partial 16S ribosomal RNA
Rfam family: Bacterial small subunit ribosomal RNA
Source: RNAcentral